UGGGACCAUAGCUCAGCUGGGAGAGCACCUGCCUUACAAGCAGGGGGUCACAGGUUCGAGCCCNGAGCGUUCGGUUCAUACCCGAAAGGUCAUAG
RNAcentral lists this transfer RNA (95 nucleotides) under Clostridioides difficile. RNAcentral's name for it is "tRNA-Val(tac)". The stretch from base 9 to 66 matches the Rfam family "tRNA", at positions 8 to 63 of the family's 71-position model. Rfam says of the family: Transfer RNA (tRNA) molecules are approximately 80 nucleotides in length. Their secondary structure includes four short double-helical elements and three loops (D, anti-codon, and T loops). The record is from RNAcentral. Lineage: Bacteria; Bacillati; Bacillota; Clostridia; Peptostreptococcales; Peptostreptococcaceae.